Molecule: ribosomal RNA, 1771 nt
Filed under: metagenome
Description: bacterial LSU rRNA
Rfam family: Bacterial large subunit ribosomal RNA
Source: RNAcentral
UAUAAGACUAAAUACUACUUGGCAACCGAUAGUGAACAAGUACCGCGAGGGAAAGGUGAAAAGAACCCCUGCUAGGGGAGUGAAAUAGACCUGAAACCGAUUGCAUACAAUGUGUAGGAGCACCGCAAGGUGUGACUGCUUGCCUUUUGCAUAAUGAGUCUGCGAGUUAUUAUCAGUGGCCAGCCUAAGGUUCUCUGAACUGGAGGCGAAGCGAAAGCGAGUGUGAAUAGCGCGACAAGUCGCUGGUAAUAGACCCGAAGCGGAGGUGAUCUACUCUUGAGCAGGUUGAAGCUGUGGUAACACACAGUGAAGGACCGAACUCGUGAAUGUUGAAAAAUUCUGAGAUGACUUGAGAGUAGGAGCGAAAGACUAAUCAAACCCCGUGAUAGCUGGUUCUCUCCGAAAUCGCUUGAGGGCGAGUCUUGGGUAAGUACUCGAAGGAGGUAGAGCACUGAAUGGCUUAGGGGCCCCACCAGGCUGCCAAAACCAAUCAAACUCCGAAUACCUUCGAUCUCAUUAACCCAGGAGUCAGGCUGCGGGUGAUAAGAUUCGUAGCCGAGAGGGCAACAGCCCAGACCAUCAGCUAAGGUGCCUAAAUAUGAUUAAGUGGAAAGGAUGUGACUUUGCUUAGAUAGUGAGGAUGUUGGCUUAGAGGUAGCCAUCAUUUAAAUAGUGUGUAAUAGUUGACUCAUCGAGCGAGGUCGCGCCGAAAAUGAUUGGUGAUUAAAUCAUAUACCGAAGCUAUGGAUUGAUAGAGUUUUCGAACACUAUCAGUGGUAGGAGAGCGUAAUCAGUGCUGUGAAGCCGAACUGAAAAGGAUGGUGGAGCGCUGAUUAGUGAGAAUGCAGACACGAGUAGCGAUAAACCAGAUGAGAAUUCUGGUCGCCGUAAACCCAAGGUUUCCUGGGCCAGGUUCGUCCUCCCAGGGUUAGUCUGGACCUAACACGAGGCCGUAAGGCGUAGUGGAUGGACAGAAGGUUAAAUAUUCCUUCACCAGCUAGGAUUAAGGCGUGGAGUGCACAGAGAGAAAAGUAACUAGGCAAUCGAAUGCCGAGCUUAGCCUUCGGGCGAAGCGUAUUACCAGACAAUCUGUCUAGAAAAGCUCCACGUUGUUUCCCUGGUUGCCAGUACCGUAAACCGACACAGGUGGGUGGGUCGAGUAGACCAAGGCGCGCGAGAGAAACCUCUCUAAGGAACUCGGCACAUUAGCCCCGUAACUUCGGGAGAAGGGGUGCCUAUUUAAUAGGUCUCAGCAAAUUGCGUUUAGCGACUGUUUAACAAAAACACAGCACUCUGCUAAGUCGUCAAGACGACGUAUAGGGUGUGACACGUGACCAAUGCGGAAAGAUCAAGGCAACUUGUUAGCCGUAAGGCGAAGCUCGGAACCUAAGUCCCCGUGAAUGUCGGCCGUAACUAUAACGGUCCUAAGGUAGCGAAAUUCCUUGUCGGGUAAGUUCCGACCUGCACGAAUCGUGUAACGACUGAACGACUGUCUCGGAGAGGAUCUCGGCGAAACUGUAACGGCGGUGAAGAUGCCGCCUGCCCGCAGUAGGACGGAAAGACCCUAUGCACCUUUACUGUAAGCUCGUAUUGGGUUCUGAUUAAUAAUGCUUAGCGUAGGUGGGAGACUUUGAAGGCGUGGCUUCGGUUGCGCUGGAGUCGAAAUGUGAAACACCACUCUUUGUUAAUUAGGAUUCUAACCCCGAUUCCUGUGAAGCCAGGCGGGGGACAGUGCGUGCGGGUCAGUUUGACUGGGGCGGUUUCCUCCCAA